Molecule: ribosomal RNA, 2923 nt
Filed under: Klebsiella pneumoniae
Lineage: Bacteria; Pseudomonadati; Pseudomonadota; Gammaproteobacteria; Enterobacterales; Enterobacteriaceae
Description: 23S ribosomal RNA
Rfam family: Bacterial large subunit ribosomal RNA
Source: RNAcentral
GGGUUGUGAGGUUAAGCGACUAAGCGUACACGGUGGAUGCCCUGGCAGUCAGAGGCGAUGAAGGACGUGCUAAUCUGCGAAAAGCGUCGGUAAGGUGAUAUGAACCGUUAUAGCCGGCGAUGUCCGAAUGGGGAAACCCAGUGCAAUUCGUUGCACUAUCGUUAACUGAAUACAUAGGUUAACGAGGCGAACCGGGGGAACUGAAACAUCUAAGUACCCCGAGGAAAAGAAAUCAACCGAGAUUCCCCCAGUAGCGGCGAGCGAACGGGGAGCAGCCCAGAGUCUGAAUCAGCUUGUGUGUUAGUGGAACGGUCUGGAAAGUCCGACGGUACAGGGUGAUAGUCCCGUACACCAAAAUGCACAGGUUGUGAACUCGAAGAGUAGGGCGGGACACGUGGUAUCCUGUCUGAAUAUGGGGGGACCAUCCUCCAAGGCUAAAUACUCCUGACUGACCGAUAGUGAACCAGUACCGUGAGGGAAAGGCGAAAAGAACCCCGGCGAGGGGAGUGAAAAAGAACCUGAAACCGUGUACGUACAAGCAGUGGGAGCACCUUCGGGUGUGACUGCGUACCUUUUGUAUAAUGGGUCAGCGACUUAUAUUCUGUAGCAAGGUUAACCGUAUAGGGGAGCCGCAGGGAAACCGAGUCUUAACUGGGCGUUAAGUUGCAGGGUAUAGACCCGAAACCCGGUGAUCUAGCCAUGGGCAGGUUGAAGGUUGGGUAACACUAACUGGAGGACCGAACCGACUAAUGUUGAAAAAUUAGCGGAUGACUUGUGGCUGGGGGUGAAAGGCCAAUCAAACCGGGAGAUAGCUGGUUCUCCCCGAAAGCUAUUUAGGUAGCGCCUCGUGAAUUCAUCUUCGGGGGUAGAGCACUGUUUCGGCUAGGGGGUCAUCCCGACUUACCAACCCGAUGCAAACUACGAAUACCGAAGAAUGUUAUCACGGGAGACACACGGCGGGUGCUAACGUCCGUCGUGAAGAGGGAAACAACCCAGACCGCCAGCUAAGGUCCCAAAGUCAUGGUUAAGUGGGAAACGAUGUGGGAAGGCACAGACAGCCAGGAUGUUGGCUUAGAAGCAGCCAUCAUUUAAAGAAAGCGUAAUAGCUCACUGGUCGAGUCGGCCUGCGCGGAAGAUGUAACGGGGCUAAACCAUGCACCGAAGCUGCGGCAGCGACACUAUGUGUUGUUGGGUAGGGGAGCGUUCUGUAAGCCUGCGAAGGUGUGCUGUGAGGCAUGCUGGAGGUAUCAGAAGUGCGAAUGCUGACAUAAGUAACGAUAAAGCGGGUGAAAAGCCCGCUCGCCGGAAGACCAAGGGUUCCUGUCCAACGUUAAUCGGGGCAGGGUGAGUCGACCCCUAAGGCGAGGCCGAAAGGCGUAGUCGAUGGGAAACAGGUUAAUAUUCCUGUACUUGGUGUUACUGCGAAGGGGGGACGGAGAAGGCUAUGUUAGCCGGGCGACGGUUGUCCCGGUUUAAGCAUGUAGGCUGGUUAUCCAGGCAAAUCCGGAUAAUCAAGGCUGAGGUGUGAUGACGAGGCACUACGGUGCUGAAGUAACAAAUGCCCUGCUUCCAGGAAAAGCCUCUAAGCAUCAGGUAACAUCAAAUCGUACCCCAAACCGACACAGGUGGUCAGGUAGAGAAUACCAAGGCGCUUGAGAGAACUCGGGUGAAGGAACUAGGCAAAAUGGUGCCGUAACUUCGGGAGAAGGCACGCUGGUGUGUAGGUGAAGUCCCUGCGGAUGGAGCUGAGACCAGUCGAAGAUACCAGCUGGCUGCAACUGUUUAUUAAAAACACAGCACUGUGCAAACACGAAAGUGGACGUAUACGGUGUGACGCCUGCCCGGUGCCGGAAGGUUAAUUGAUGGGGUUAUCCGUAAGGAGAAGCUCUUGAUCGAAGCCCCGGUAAACGGCGGCCGUAACUAUAACGGUCCUAAGGUAGCGAAAUUCCUUGUCGGGUAAGUUCCGACCUGCACGAAUGGCGUAAUGAUGGCCAGGCUGUCUCCACCCGAGACUCAGUGAAAUUGAACUCGCUGUGAAGAUGCAGUGUACCCGCGGCAAGACGGAAAGACCCCGUGAACCUUUACUAUAGCUUGACACUGAACAUUGAGCCUUGAUGUGUAGGAUAGGUGGGAGGCUUUGAAGCGUGGACGCCAGUCUGCGUGGAGCCAACCUUGAAAUACCACCCUUUAAUGUUUGAUGUUCUAACGUUGGCCCCUUAUCGGGGUUGCGGACAGUGUCUGGUGGGUAGUUUGACUGGGGCGGUCUCCUCCCAAAGCGUAACGGAGGAGCACGAAGGUUAGCUAAUCCUGGUCGGACAUCAGGAGGUUAGUGCAAUGGCAUAAGCUAGCUUGACUGCGAGCGUGACGGCGCGAGCAGGUGCGAAAGCAGGUCAUAGUGAUCCGGUGGUUCUGAAUGGAAGGGCCAUCGCUCAACGGAUAAAAGGUACUCCGGGGAUAACAGGCUGAUACCGCCCAAGAGUUCAUAUCGACGGCGGUGUUUGGCACCUCGAUGUCGGCUCAUCACAUCCUGGGGCUGAAGUAGGUCCCAAGGGUAUGGCUGUUCGCCAUUUAAAGUGGUACGCGAGCUGGGUUUAGAACGUCGUGAGACAGUUCGGUCCCUAUCUGCCGUGGGCGCUGGAGAAUUGAGGGGGGCUGCUCCUAGUACGAGAGGACCGGAGUGGACGCAUCACUGGUGUUCGGGUUGUCAUGCCAAUGGCACUGCCCGGUAGCUAAAUGCGGAAGAGAUAAGUGCUGAAAGCAUCUAAGCACGAAACUUGCCCCGAGAUGAGUUCUCCCUGAGACUUUAAGUCUCCUGAAGGAACGUUGAAGACGACGACGUUGAUAGGCCGGGUGUGUAAGCGCAGCGAUGCGUUGAGCUAACCGGUACUAAUGAACCGUGAGGCUUAACCUUACAACGCCGAAG